CUUAAUGAGAGUUUGAUCCUAGCUCAGGAUGAAUGCUGGCUGUAUGGAUAAGGCAUGCAAGUCGAAC
RNAcentral lists this ribosomal RNA (67 nucleotides) under Patescibacteria group bacterium. RNAcentral describes it as "partial 16S ribosomal RNA". It matches the Rfam family "Bacterial small subunit ribosomal RNA", at positions 1 to 67 of the family's 1533-position model. The record is from RNAcentral.